This 458-nucleotide ribosomal RNA is filed under the name uncultured bacterium. RNAcentral describes it as "partial 16S ribosomal RNA". It matches the Rfam family "Bacterial small subunit ribosomal RNA", at positions 338 to 795 of the family's 1533-position model. The record is from RNAcentral.
CCUACGGGAGGCAGCAGUGAGGAAUAUUGGUCAAUGGGCGAGAGCCUGAACCAGCCAAGUCGCGUGAGGGAGUACUGCCCUAUGGGUUGUAAACCUCUUUUGUCGGGGAGCAAAAGCCGGACGUGUCCGGCUGUGAGAGUACCCGAAGAAAAAGCAUCGGCUAACUCCGUGCCAGCAGCCGCGGUAAUACGGAGGAUGCGAGCGUUAUCCGGAUGUAUUGGGGUUAAAGGGUGCGCAGGCGGAUUUUUAAGUCAGCGGUCAAAUCGUGGGGCUCAACCCCGUCCAGCCGUUGAAACUGGGGAUCUAGAGUGUGCGAGAGGUAUGCGGAAUGCGUGGUGUAGCGGUGAAAUGCAUAGAUAUCACGCAGAACCCCGAUUGCGAAGGCAGCAUACCGGUGCACAACUGACGCUCAGGCACGAAAGCGUGGGUAUCGAACAGGAUUAGAUACCCUAGUAGUC